GACUAUGACCAUACCACCCUGAGCACGCCCGAUCUCAUCUGAUAAGCAGGGUUGGGCUUGGUUAGUACUUGGAUGGGAGAAAUGCUUUAAUUCACUCAUCACCAGAGGAAUAGAAAUUAAAACCA
Molecule: ribosomal RNA, 125 nt
Filed under: Erinaceus europaeus (western European hedgehog)
Lineage: Eukaryota; Metazoa; Chordata; Mammalia; Eulipotyphla; Erinaceidae
Source: RNAcentral